This 5119-nucleotide long non-coding RNA is filed under the name Olea europaea subsp. europaea. The record is from RNAcentral. Lineage: Eukaryota; Viridiplantae; Streptophyta; Magnoliopsida; Lamiales; Oleaceae.
ACCCAAUCCACCCUCCACAGUCCAAAAUGCACUGUAGAGCAGAAGGAGACAACCUAACCCCACGUUGGAUGAAAGCAAUAUAUACAUACGCAUAUAUCAAUUAUCAUAUAUGUAGAGAGAGGGUGAGAGCAACGAAUCAAGGCGAAUAAUAAGCUGUUUCUUGGGAUACUGAGCGGCGUUUUGUUCACUCCCUCCCCUUUGAAAUGUUUACGUACUCUCUUUACAUUUUUGCUUAAUGGAAGCUGGUAUUCCGGCGCCAAUGUAACCGUCACAGCUUUCAAUUAGCCUUUCAAUUGAAUUUAUAUGCUGGGUUUUUCCAUUUGUAGUAUUUAAUGCUUUUAAUACUGUGUAAUGAGGAGUAUUCAGUUCGUACAUAAAGGAGUGUAAGAAGGUGUAUUAUAUUGUGUUUAUAUUAGCCAUUAUCAAUUAUAAACUUUGAUUGUGGAUUUAAAGAUCAGUUUCUUUAUCAAAACAAGAGGAGCUUUAAUCAUGGCAAGGUCAUUUUCUCAGCCGAAAAGCAGUUCUCCAUCUGAAGGUUAAACAUUUAAAUUGAUCAUCGUUAUUUUUUUUUAUUUGGUUAUCCCAAAAGUGUUUUUGUUCGUGUUUGGGAAAUGAAUUUUGGGUUUUUUCUUCUUCAUUUGAAAUUUCAGGGAAUAGGGUUGAGGAUGUUUUGUAUCCAGAGCUAUGGAAGGCUUGUGCAGGUCCGUUGGUGGAUAUUCCAAAAAUGAGAGAAAGAGUUUACUAUUUCCCACAAGGUCACAUGGAACAAGUCAGUAUAUUAUUACUUCUAAAUUUUCUUCUGUGGGUGCCUGAAAGUUCAGAUCUUUGUAUGGAAUAAUGGAUAUUUAGUCAUGAAAUUAAAAUAAACUUGAGUUUCUGUAUGUGGGAAUUUAUGGGAUUUAAUUUGGAGUUGAAACUUGUGCUUUUUUUGGGGUUUGUUUAGUUGGAAGCAUCAACAAAUCAGGAGUUAAGUCAGAGGACAACAAUGUUCAACCUUCCCUCAAAGAUCCUUUGCCGUGUUAUGAACAUUCAGCUACUGGUAUGGUCCUAUCAAUCCUGCUCUUAAUUAUUCUUUUGUUAAUUGUGAUGUGAAAUCUUGCGGAGAAAAUUUGUAAGUCCUCUUUUUAUGCUAAAGGUUAAAAAGAUCCCGGGUAAAAAUGUUAAAUUGGUCCUCUUUUGGGUUCGGGGUGAGGAAGAAAAUUGCAGCAGAUCGACUUUGUAAGAAAAAUCGUGGGUUGGUUAGGGGUGAGAAAGUAGUAUGUGUAUAUUGAAACAUUGGCGCAAAAAAGGGCAGUCUAGUGAGAUUUUGGCGAGAAAAUUUCACCUUCUCUACGCAACUUGUCUUUCCCAGACGAAAACCUCGAUUUAGUUUAGUUUAGUUUAGUUCAUAAACACUUGCUGUAAAAACUGCAGAAAAUUUUGUUUUUAUGCUUUAGCAACCAAAAUUAUUGCAAUGGUAAAUUUAGUUGUAGAAUGGUUAACAAAUCAUGAUGCGGUGUUUUGUAGGCUGAACGAGAAACCGAUGAGGUUUAUGCACAAAUUACUCUGAUGCCAGAAUUAGAUGUAAGGAAAACGUCUCGCUUUUUUUUUUUAUUGGAAAAAUUGUUAUAUUUGCUUGCUCUCAUAAUUUUUAGGGAUCAAGCUUGCAAUUUAUUAGUAGGCAAUCUAUGAUAGUUUGAGUUACGUUUGGAUGAAACAAUUUGUAGCAAACUGAGCCAAAAAGUCUAGAUCGAUGUGCUCUGGAUCCUCCUAGGCCUACUGUUCACUCAUUCUGCAAGGUUUUGACGGCUUCCGACACAAGUACUCAUGGUGGAUUUUCUGUCCUUCGUAGGCAUGCAAAUGAAUGCCUUCCACCCUUGGUAAUAAUUCCUCUCUCGGGAGGUUCAUUAAUUUUUUUUUUUUUUGGUUUGUACUGCUGGUUGGCAUUGAAUUUGUUAACUGAUUUUUAGUUUAUUUUGACUAUGAAUGUUCUUGGGUUAGGAUAUGACCCAGCAGACACCGACCCAGGAACUCGUGGCCAAGGAUCUGCAUGGGAUUAAAUGGCAGUUUAAGCAUAUAUAUAGAGGUGAUGCUUUAUUUCUUCCUUCCUAAUGAGCUCCUUUGAUAUAGCUAGACUAAGGGAUCUGAGAUUGGCUGGCUAAGCUUAAAAGGGCGAUAGUUACUUUAAUAUUUCCAAACAUCUUCAGAUAACCUUUUUCUACGUUCAAGUAAAAAAAAAAAAAUUACUUAUGUUGAAAGUAACAUUUACGUUACUAUCUAAAAUAUUAAGUUAUUUUCAACUUUGACCAAUAAACAAACGUUUUAAUCCUUUAACUUAUUUGCUUGUAACUAACAAUUUAAGCUUACACAAACAUGCUUUCUCAUUACAAACGUAUUACUUGACCAUAAAUGCCAUUAUGCCAAUACUGAUCAAAUAAAUGGGCAUCUAUUGAGUUGAGUAUGUUGAUAUCAAAUACUCCAUUUUCAUGGAUGGUAAUUCAUGUUUAUAUCUUCCAAACUGAACAGGCAAACCUAGCAGGCACUUGCUUACAACGGGAUGGAGUAAUUUCGUCACUUCUAAGAAAUUAGUCGCUGGAGAUUCUUUUGUAUUUUUGAGGUACUUGUCGAACUUACACACUCUUCAGUGAUUAUAAGUUGUAUCUGUCAAUGAAGCCUCGGUUUUCCUUUUUCUUAUGUGUUGUUAUCGUCUUAUUGGAACUCUUAUUCUAGGGGAGAGAAUGGGGAGUUACAUGUUGGAGUUAGACAUCAUGUUUGUCAACAGAGCUCCUUGCCAUCGUCAGUGAUUUCAAGUCAGAGCAUGCACCUCGGAGUGCUUGCAACUGCAUCCCAUGCUGUAGCAAGCAAGACCCUCUUUGUUGUUUAUUACAAACCGAGGUUUGAUAUUCACUCUUUGUACACUGGGAAUGAUGUCCGUAUAUGAGAAUUACUUUUUAAAUAACGUGCAUAGCUGUGUGUUAAACUUUCAGAACAAGUCAAUUCAUCAUAGGCCUGAACAAAUAUCUUGAAGCUCUAAACCAUGGUUUUGGAGUUGGCAUGAGAUUCAAGAUGCAGUUUGAGGUCGAGGAUUCUCCAGAGAAGAGGUUGCCACUUGCCAUGUAUUCAAAAGUAAAUCUCAUUGCUAUUGUCAUGGAAUUGAUCUAAUUUGUCCCUUUUUUUCCCACAUUAUCAGGUUCUCAGGUACAAUAACAGGAGUCGAAGAUAUUUCUCCUCACUGGGAAGAUUCUAAAUGGCGAUCACUGAAGGUUAGUGUAUUUCUUGAUGUUCUUUUGAUUAAAUUAGCAUAUGGAAUUACUCAAACUCUAUGCUGUUCUCGUGUUUUCAGGUUCAGUGGGACGAACCUGCAUCCAUUCCAAGACCUGAAAGGGUUUCUCCAUGGGAGAUAGAACCAUUUGUGGCUUCAGUUCCCACAAGCCUGGUUCAACCAUCGGCAGCAAAAAAUAAAAGGCCAAGAUUGCAUGUUGAAACCCCAGUUCCUGGUUCAACAUUCUUGCAUACCCUUUUUUCCCAAACUUUCUAGCAUUUUUAUGUAUUAGGACUUCAUUUAAUUUUGUUGCUAUUUCCUAUGUGGUAGAUACUCCAAGUUCAACAGCAUCAGCUGUGUGGAAUCCGUCCCGCGAAUCACAUCAAGUAAUGGGCUCUCUUGAAGAACAAAGGAGUGAACAAGUUGACACUGGUGGCACUCUCAUCAGAAACAGAAACGGCAACACUUCUGGAACUCUUUUAGAGGGAGACUGGCUAUCUCCUGAUGUGAAUUCGUCUCUUAAUAUGUUUUCUGAAGAAACAGAAGAGAGCAAAAGUGCAUCGGCUUGGUCUAUUUUUUCAAACUGUUCAGCCCCAAAUUCUGGAAAACGGAGUAAUAGUCGCAUUUCUUGCCUGAAUGAUGGGAGGAAAUUAGAUGCGUCUGCAACUUGCAGAUUAUUUGGUAUUGAUUUGAACAGCCCUUUGACGGGUGCUGCCCUUCUCGAGAAAUCCUCUCUAAAAUCAGUUGAUAAACUAAAUGAUGCUUCUGAAGGAUGCGUCUCAAAUCAACGGCAGCAGUUACAAGUACCAGUAAAGGAGGUUCCUAGCAGACAGAAUCACUCCACUAGAAGUCGCACCAAGGUAUAAUUUCACCUUCUACUUUUAACAACAAAGUAUUAUUGAUUGAGCGUUUACUGAAUUGAAAGAGUAAUUAAUAAUAACUAUUUGUUUCUUUGGUGUGAAAUACUUUGAGAAGGUUCAAAUGCAAGGUGUUGCUGUGGGUCGUGCUGUGGACCUAACUGCGUUAAAGGGAUACGAUGAGCUUAUAAGUGAAAUUGAAGAGAUGUUCGAAAUAAAGGGUGAGCUUCAGCUCCGACAUAAUUGGGAGAUUGUUUUCACUGAUGACGAAGGAGACAUGAUGCUUAUGCGCGAUUAUCCAUGGCUGUACGUAUUAUUUGUAUUUUUCAUCUAGACAUAUCAUCUACUUCAACGGUUAUAUGAUACUAUUAUUUUCUUGCAGAGAAUUCUGUGAUAAGGUGCAGAGGAUUUUCAUCUAUUCUAGCCAAGAUGUGAAAAAAAUGAGAGCAGGAAGCAAGCUUCCUCUAUCUUCGACAGACAACUGAAGGAGAUGCUUUAACUUGGAAGUUGGUGAAGAUUAAAAUUAAAUUAAUUUCACAUUUUCUUGUUCAUCCCUGCUUUUUCCUUUUAAUUUGUUUUUCAAUGGAAAAAGCUUCAGUUUUUCGCUGUUGUAGAGGUCUUGAGGAAUUUCUUGUUUGUUUCUCUGAUUCUGUGUCAUCAAGAUGGAUGGCUAUAGAUAUGGAUGUAGCAUCAGGCUAACAACCAAGAAAACUAGCUGUUUGCGACUAGAAAUUUUACGAGUAAUCGGGGGUGGGAUUAGGAUUAGAAUCUGUGUAUAUCAGAGGUGUUUCCGGUGGAUUUGGAUGUAAAUAUAAAUUUCUUGGCAUCUGGUUUAUAAAUUGCCAGGUUCUUUUGGAAAUGUGUACUUCAAUAAUCCAGGGCAUUUCAUUUUCUUCCUUGCAUGCAUAGUUAAAUUGAAUUCAAGGUUCUGGUUCAAUGGAUAUGUGGAUCAUAUUUCUGCCUCUACACAAAGCAAAAGUCCCGCCUAACAAGGCCUAAGUUAUAUAGAUACAUAAUACAA